Molecule: transfer RNA, 67 nt
Filed under: Cryptolithodes sitchensis
Lineage: Eukaryota; Metazoa; Arthropoda; Malacostraca; Decapoda; Lithodidae
Description: tRNA-Ile
Source: RNAcentral
AGUAUAAUGCCUGAUUAAAGGAUAACAUUGAUGUUGUUAAUAAUAUAGGAUCGCCCUAUUUAUACUU